AGAGGGGGUGGGGAUGGUCUUGAACGGGAGAAAAGAUGCCUUCUUCCCUGAAACUCUGAAAAAGAGUGAAGGGUGUUUCUAAAUGAGGUAAGUGUGGUUUUGUUGUUGGUGUUGGUUUGGGUGGAGGCUGGGGGAGGGGGAGGAAGCAGAAAUUCAUGCGUCAGUUUUCUUGAUGAAACAGGAGGCCAGGUCAUGCGCUAAGAAAGUGCUGGGGAUUGAGAAGAGACUGAAGGUUUGGCACGAGCACCAGGCAGAAUGCGAAAAGAGACGCUAGUUAAGGAAAUGGUGAUCUACCCUGGAGCUGGCCUCGCUGGAGAAGAGAGGACCCGAGGAUCCUGCAGACUGGGUGAAAAUGGAAAGAGCGAGGACUGAAAUACUCCUGGUGGCGAGGAGGGCAGGAAAGAGCAGAGGUCCUCAGCAGAACCAUUAAAGAAAACUGAACAAGAGAAGAUGUGGGAGACGACCUACUGCAAUGCUUUAUAAAAGAGAAAGCCUGCUGCGUGUUACAGGUGCCUCUCGCUGCCUGUCCGGAUGGUUCCCGACAUACACAGAGAUCGGAGGUGUGGUCGCUUGUUUUUUAUACUAAAAGGUGGUGACAGACCAUUGAAAAAUAACACUGCAAUUCUGAUUGCCAAUUCAGGUCCCCGAGCCUGAAACGUCUUCCCAUAAGUCGUGACUCUUUAUUGCAACUUUCAACUUGCUUUAAUAACAUACCCAUUUUCAACUCGUGGACUAUGAAGGUAGGUGCUUUCAGAGAGCAGUUUUGAGUGGGUUCCUGAAGGACUCAGGGAGGCGACAGGAGGAACAGAAUCACAUUUCUUAGAAGGUGCCACGCCCACUGCCACGUGGUGCUCCCGACUCCGUGGGCCACUUGCUCCUUCAGCUACUAAAGCCGCACCCAGGUUCCCAAGCUCAGACCCUUCCCCUUGUAGUUUCCACUUUAGAUGACCGUUUCUCCUUUCCCCAUUCUCCUGCUUGUUGACGUCUUAUCUUUCUAAGCUCAGGAUCAGAUAUGGCCCCUCCACAAGGUUUGGCCCACCGCGCUGUCUGAGCAGGUCCGCCUCGGAAUCCAGCUUGCUGUGCGCAGGUGGUUCCGUGAUGCACAUUCGUUUUCUGUCAUUCGUUUGCUUUCUUGUCAGCGGGACCUCCCUAGGACUCGAAGGUCCAAAAGGGCAGGUGGACAGGGAGCUUCUCGUCUCAUUUCUCAUCCCGGCACUAGCAUCGAGCACAGUGACUCUCACCUAGGACCUAGGAGCCCCGUAAACACUGGUUAAGUGAGAGGAGUGAAAGUUUACUGUCUCUUUUUCAUCCAUCACACACGCAUGGGAAAUAAACCAAAGCAUAAGUCCUUUCUUGUCUGGGUUCUUAGAUUUGUAGCGAAUCCAUGAAGCUUAUUUAGCUGAAGAUGGGUGCCUUACGGUCCUUGGGUUAUUCAAGACCCAGAAUAAGAUGGUCAUGAUGGAUUAUUCAAGUUCACACAGUUUGAUUCAAGGCUCAUCUCCAUCUGAGUAGCUGGGGACAGGGUACUUCUUACCAUUUAGAAGAGAAACAAAAAUGCCCUCACCCUGGGCCCUUAAUAUCUAUAAAAGCAGUAUCUUAUCCAGCAUGGGGACCGAAAAAAUCACAGCCCCUUUCCUUUCCUUACAAAACUGUGAGUGGUAAAGGUCAAAUCUCAGGCUCUUAAUAACAGCCAGAUUGAAACCCGCUGUCUGGCAGGUACAGUGAUAAUACCACAGAGGUACUUGCGGUAAAAAGUCUCAUUUUACUAAUGAUGAAAAUGAGACCCACAGAAGUUAAACAAGUUUCCCCAGGCUCCAAACUUAGCAAGUGACAAGAGGUAUGAUCCAAAGCCAGGCCUGUCCAAUGCCAAAACCCCCAUGCUCAAUCCUGCCUCAAUUAAACAGUCCAGUUGUGAAUAACAUGAGCCUCCACAACACAGAACCAGGAAUAAGCACCCAAGAAACAAGAAAAGAAAAAGAGUGGCUUGGUAUCCCUUCCUUGGAACACGUCAUCACAACAUACAAAAAAAUUCCUACGAUGCCCCAAGCAAGGGCAAGCCUGACAUUUCUGAGUGAUUAAAUACACAGGGGACAGGAGAAUGAGGUAACGGGUAGGCAGAUUGGAAAGCCAUUCAAGAAGAUGCAUGUAGUUCACCAGAUUUUAACGAGAGAGAGAGGGAUGGAAGAAAGAAGCAUACGAGCAGGGUUUCCUCGGUGGUCAGCCCUGGCCCCUUCAACACCAUUGGGUCCUGGCCUGAGACGGAGCCAGGAGGGGAGAGAAGGAUGCCCAAGGUCACAUGUCUUAGUCAUAAUCAAUGUUGGCCUUGGGAUUUAAGGUACCUACAAGUUGCUACAAGAUUCUUGAGGAACCAGGGUGGUGACUCUCAGAAAAAGAGUGAAUCUUUGUUUCUCCUCUGCCACUGUGCACAACUCUUUCCAAUGUGACAAAGGGACAUGGGGCUGACGUCAGUAGUUCCUGGCACUUUUCCCUGGAGUAGGACCCAGGGGAGUAUGGCUUCCGGUACAGCUGCACCAAAUCUGCGUCUUUGUAACGUAUUCAGGCUGGGGCAGGGAAUGUCUAUGCUCUUGUGCAACUGGGUUUCAAGUUAACCCUCCAACCUGGUUGUAGAAGACAAUUAAUACGAGGUUACCUUUUGUGGAGAAGAGGCCCACGGAGCUCAGAACUGAAGGUGUAUGAUGAUGAUUACUUGCAGAAUUUUUCUAUGUACCUGGAUUGAAACUAGACAAAAUUGUAAGUCGAGUUAUAACAAAGGGAACGUUGGUCCCUGCUGUUGAGAAGCCCUCCUGACGCUCUCUGGGUCCUUUCUGGAGGACGAGUGCUUCCUCCUCUCAAAAAUGAUGCCACAAAAAAGAUUUCAGCUUCCGUUGGGAGGAAUAGCUCUUCAGGGUUUGGAACACUGGAUUCUGCUUGAUGAUGAGACAAAGAAGCCACAAAUUUGCACUGCCUCCCUCUGGCUUCUCCCCCUCCCCUGGGGUGGGCGCCGUAUGAAUAAAACUAUGAUUCAUGUAUUCUAAUUUCUUCAAA
Long non-coding RNA from Camelus dromedarius (Arabian camel), 3045 nucleotides. RefSeq lists it as uncharacterized. Lineage: Eukaryota; Metazoa; Chordata; Mammalia; Artiodactyla; Camelidae. The record is from RefSeq and is a predicted model, not a curated record. The transcript is spliced from 2 exons.